UGGGGAAUUUUGGACAAUGGGCGAAAGCCUGAUCCAGCAAUGCCGCGUGCAGGAAGAAGGCCUUCGGGUUGUAAACUGCUUUUGUACGGAACGAAAAGGCUCUUUCUAAUAAAGGGGGUCCAUGACGGUACCGUAAGAAUAAGCACCGGCUAACUACGUGCCAGCAGCCGCGGUAAUACGUAGGGUGCAAGCGUUAAUCGGAAUUACUGGGCGUAAAGCGUGCGCAGGCGGUUAUAUAAGACAGAUGUGAAAUCCCCGGGCUCAACCUGGGAACUGCAUUUGUGACUGUAUAGCUAGAGUACGGUAGAGGGGGAUGGAAUUCCGCGUGUAGCAGUGAAAUGCGUAGAUAUGCGGAGGAACACCGAUGGCGAAGGCAAUCCCCUGGACCUGUACUGACGCUCAUGCACGAAAGCGUGGGGAGCAAACAGGAUUAGAUACCCACGUAGUCCCUGAGCGGGCUGGCAAGGCGCAU
RNAcentral lists this ribosomal RNA (472 nucleotides) under uncultured bacterium. RNAcentral describes it as "bacterial SSU rRNA". It matches the Rfam family "Bacterial small subunit ribosomal RNA", at positions 355 to 825 of the family's 1533-position model. The record is from RNAcentral.